UGGGGAAUUUUGGACAAUGGGGGAAACCCUGAUCCAGCCAUUCCGCGUGUGCGAUGAAGGCCUUCGGGUUGUAAAGCACUUUUGGCAGGAAAGAAAUCGCGCAAAUUAAUACUUUGCGUGGAUGACGGUACCUGCAGAAUAAGCACCGGCUAACUACGUGCCAGCAGCCGCGGUAAUACGUAGGGUGCAAGCGUUAAUCGGAAUUACUGGGCGUAAAGCGUGCGCAGGCGGUUCGGAAAGAGAGGUGUGAAAUCCCAGGGCUUAACCUUGGAACUGCACUUUUAACUCCCGAGCUAGAGUAUGUCAGAGGGGGGUGGAAUUCCGCGUGUAGCAGUGAAAUGCGUAGAUAUGCGGAGGAACACCGAUGGCGAAGGCAGCCCCCUGGGAUAAUACUGACGCUCAUGCACGAAAGCGUGGGGAGCAAA
Molecule: ribosomal RNA, 425 nt
Filed under: beta proteobacterium SCGC AAA278-M07
Lineage: Bacteria; Pseudomonadati; Pseudomonadota; Betaproteobacteria
Description: bacterial SSU rRNA
Rfam family: Bacterial small subunit ribosomal RNA
Source: RNAcentral